This 582-nucleotide ribosomal RNA is filed under the name uncultured bacterium. RNAcentral's name for it is "partial 16S ribosomal RNA". It matches the Rfam family "Bacterial small subunit ribosomal RNA", at positions 355 to 935 of the family's 1533-position model. The record is from RNAcentral.
UGGGGAAUUUUGGACAAUGGGCGCAAGCCUGAUCCAGCCAUGCCGCGUGCGGGAAGAAGGCCUUCGGGUUGUAAACCGCUUUUGUCAGGGAAGAAAUCUUCUGAGUUAAUACCUCGGGAGGAUGACGGUACCUGAAGAAUAAGCACCGGCUAACUACGUGCCAGCAGCCGCGGUAAUACGUAGGGUGCAAGCGUUAAUCGGAAUUACUGGGCGUAAAGCGUGCGCAGGCGGUUUUGUAAGACAGAGGUGAAAUCCCCGGGCUCAACCUGGGAACUGCCUUUGUGACUGCAAGGCUUGAGUGCGGCAGAGGGGGGAUGGAAUUCCGCGUGUAGCAGUGAAAUGCGUAGAUAUGCGGAGGAACACCGAUGGCGAAGGCAAUCCCCUGGGCCUGCACUGACGCUCAUGCACGAAAGCGUGGGGAGCAAACAGGAUUAGAUACCCUGGUAGUCCACGCCCUAAACGAUGUCAACUGGUUGUUGGGAAGGUUCCUUCUCAGUAACGUAGCUAACGCGUGAAGUUGACCGCCUGGGGAGUACGGCCGCAAGGUUGAAACUAAAGGAAUUGACGGGGUCAUAGCUGUUU